UACGUAGGGGGCUAGCGUUGUCCGGAAUCAUUGGGCGUAAGAGCGUGUAGGCGGUCUGUCGCGUCGGCUGUGAAACUCGGGGCUCAACUCCGAGCUUGCAGUCGAUACGGGCAGGCUAGAGUUCGGCAGGGGAGACUGGAAUUCCUGGUGUGCGGUGAAAUGCGCAGAUAUCAGGAAGAACACCCGUGGCGAAGGCGGCUCUCUGGGACGGUACUGACGCUGAGACGCGAAAGCGUGGGGAGCGAACAGG
This 250-nucleotide ribosomal RNA is filed under the name uncultured bacterium. RNAcentral's name for it is "partial 16S ribosomal RNA". It matches the Rfam family "Bacterial small subunit ribosomal RNA", at positions 524 to 776 of the family's 1533-position model. The record is from RNAcentral.